CAACUUUCAACAACGGAUCUCUUGGCUCUCGCAUCGAUGAAGAACGCAGCGAAAUGCGAUAAGUAAUGUGAAUUGCAGAAUUCAGUGAAUCAUCGAAUCUUUGAACGCACCUUGCGCCCCUUGGUAUUCCGAGGGGCAUGCCUGUUUGAGUGUCUU
Molecule: ribosomal RNA, 156 nt
Filed under: uncultured fungus
Lineage: Eukaryota; Fungi
Description: 5.8S ribosomal RNA
Rfam family: 5.8S ribosomal RNA
About the family: 5.8S ribosomal RNA (5.8S rRNA) is a component of the large subunit of the eukaryotic ribosome. It is transcribed by RNA polymerase I as part of the 45S precursor that also contains 18S and 28S rRNA. Functionally, it is thought that 5.8S rRNA may be involved in ribosome translocation.
Source: RNAcentral